This 432-nucleotide ribosomal RNA is filed under the name uncultured bacterium. Its description in RNAcentral is "bacterial SSU rRNA". It matches the Rfam family "Bacterial small subunit ribosomal RNA", at positions 338 to 786 of the family's 1533-position model. The record is from RNAcentral.
CCUACGGGGGGCAGCAGUGGGGAAUAUUGCACAAUGGGGGGAACCCUGAUGCAGCGACGCCGCGUGAGUGAAGAAGUAUUUCGGUAUGUAAAGCUCUGUCAGCAGGGAAGAAGAAAGACGGUACCUGACCAAGAAGCCCCGGCUAACUACGUGCCAGCAGCCGCGGUAAUACGUAGGGGGCAAGCGUUAUCCGGAUUUACUGGGUGUAAAGGGAGCGUAGACGGCAGGGCAAGUCUGGAGUGAAAGGCAGGGGCCCAACCCCUGGACUGCUCUGGAAACUGUCCGGCUGGAGUGCAGGAGAGGUAAGUGGAAUUCCUAGUGUAGCGGUGAAAUGCGUAGAUAUUAGGAGGAACACCAGUGGCGAAGGCGGCUUACUGGACUGUAACUGACGUUGAGGCUCGAAAGCGUGGGGAGCAAACAGGAUUAGAUACC